Equus caballus (horse) is the source of this 5723-nucleotide non-coding RNA. NCBI's taxonomy places the organism in Eukaryota, Metazoa, Chordata, Mammalia, Perissodactyla, Equidae. The record is from RefSeq and is a predicted model, not a curated record.
UUUUGUUCUCCUUCAGUAUACUCUAUGAUGUUUGUACAAUGAUGAAAUUGCCUAAUGCCACGUCUCUCAGAACACAUACCUGUUGUUAAGCAAUGCCUGACCGUAUAUAUAUUUUUUAAGUUCAGCAAGCUUUGCUCAUUACCAAGUCUUCUUUCUUCCUGGAAAUUACAACCAGAAACAGGCACGACGUAGCUAAAGCUGAAAUCUCCUGGGCACUGUGACAUAUAAUUCUCAAAGAUGACUACCAUCAACUUUUCCAUUCCUGUACGAAGAUGCCACUUCUCCCAUCAAGAGAUCUUGUCUGUUUCCUCUGUCAAAUUCUGAGUUUGCCUGGAGGUUUAUUUUUAUCAGCAGAAUGUAGUGAAAUUGGCACUGAGUUAGUUUCACGCCUUGCCCUAAAAAGGCCUGGCAGCUUUGCCUUUCAAUCUCUUGGGGUACCAUGUAAAAAGGUCAGGCUAUUCUGUUGUAGAAACCACGUGGAGAAAAAAAAGAAUUGCCUGGACAGCCCAUAGCUGUUCCAGGCAUGGCAGCUGAAGUACCUUUCAUGUGAACUAAGGCAUGUUGGAUAUUUCAGCUCUAGUCAAACUUCCAAAUAAAUGCACUGCAUGAGUGACCCCAGCCAACCAUCUGGAAGAAUAAUGAGCCCUGCCCAUAUUUCAGAAUCAUGGGCAAAUAAAUGGUUCUUAUUUUUGCCACUAAGUUUUGAAGUGACUUGUUUAAGAACCAUAGAUAAGUAAAGCAGGCAUGAAGAAAGAACCCACAAAAGAAGAAAAUGUGGAAGAAUGUGUAUCACAGAAGAGAGCUACCAUAUUUAAAGUUUUACAAACUUAGAGAAGAACCUUUGCAUUGAUCUGACUUCAAAGAUGAUAAGCAUAUAAAAAGAUGCUCUGUAGAAAAUCGGUGAAGCUAAAGUGUAACAGACAAAAAGGUAUGUUGAUGUUUUCCACUAAAAGUUUGAGUCAUAAUAGUAAAUACAAAAAAUAAAAUUAGGAAAACCAGUAUAGAUACAGUGGAUUGCUAUUAAUCAAUCAUAAUAUGUUACAAUAAACAUUAUUAAUCCAGCAAAGAAUUAUAACAAAAAAUUUAUCUAUAGAUUUUAAAUUUGAUGAUUGUCAGGGUAUAUAGCAAUGACAGAUGAGACAAGAGAGAACUUCUCCUUUAUUAUUUGCCUAGAAAUGACAGAAUGGCAUUUAAUUUUUUUUGACAACUGGAAAUGUGUGUUCAUCUUCAUAAUUUUCAACAAUAAAAACUAACUAUUUUGGAUGGCAGUAUUACUCAUCUAUUGCUGAUAAAAAAAAAAACAGUCCCAACGUUUAGUGGCAUAAAUCAACACGCAUUUAUGAUUUUACAGUUUCUAUGGGUUAUGAAUCCCAGCAUGGCCUAGUUGGGGGCCUCUGCUUCAAGAUUCUUCAUAAGGCUGUGGUCAAGGUACCAGCCAGGCUGGUUCUCAAAGGAAGGCUUGAUGGGGGUCGGGGUAAGGGGUGGGAUCUGCUCCCAAACUCACAUAGUUGUUGGUGGGAUUCAAUCCCUUGUGAGCUGGUGAAUUGAGGGCCUCAACUUGUGCCUGUUGUUGUGGCCUUUCUAGGUCAGCUUACAAGAUAGCAAGUACCUUCUUCCUGAGCUAGUACAUAAGAGAGCAAGAGUGGACAUACAAAAUGGAAGCCACAGUCUCCUAGUAACCUAAUCUAAGAUGUAACAUUCCAUCACUGCUGUCAUUCCUAUUUGUUAGAAGCAAGUCAAUAAUCCUAGACCCGACUGAAGGGGAGGACAUUGCAAAAGAGCAGGAAUACCAGGAGGUGAAAAUUGACAAAAGAUUUUCACCACUAUUUUUCAGAGGAAACGAAAUCCUCCAUGGGGCUUGCCUGUGAAAUUGAGCCAUGCAUCAUGACGUACUGUUCCAGCCAGGCCAGUCCCUGCUCAGGCACCACAGAACAGACUCCCACUGCACCUUCAAACUGCAUGACAAAUAAAGAAUCGCCCUGUCAGAAUUCCACCCUGGCUCACCCAAAUUGACAAAAAUUUUCUGAAUUACACUGUUUCAGGGCUCCCGCAUUGACAGGAGGCAGUCAAGCCUGACAGCCCUUUCCCUCUUGUCUGUUAUCUUGAAAUCAAUUGCACAGCCUGAUGCACAGAAUAAUGGCUGUGGACUAUUCUGCAGGACUUGGCCCAUCUGGUCACUAAGGAAGACAGCAUUGCUGGCUUCCUAUCGAUCUGGGAGGAGCAUGCUGCUACACAGAGGUGACCUCCAUCUCUCCACCUGGCCCUGCUAUUGAGGAAAUCAGUUUCACGAGUGAGCUCAUUCAGAAAUGAAAACAACUUUGCACCACAGCGUAUCCAUCUUUGUCUUUAAUUAAGAGCUCUUGCCUCUUUGGGAUUAAAUAGUGAGUUGUAAGCAAAUGAAAGGGCAUGAUUCUCUGCGUCGGGCACCAUAUUUUGUGUUAAGUCCCUUUAGUUAAAGUCUUGAACAGAUCAGACAUUUCAGUAGAGGGAAAUAUUAAUUUGGCUAUUUUAUGAAACUCCCUACACUUCAUCUUUGAAGAAAAUUCUUAUAUUAGUGGUAUAAUAUUUUUAUUAGCAAAGCUGAUUAAUGUUCCUACAAAGAUUAAUAUUUCUCAAGUUGGUUCUCUAGGAAAAUGAUCGAUUUAUACUUAAUUGUUUGAAGUUCAUUACACAGCCUACCUGUUUUACAUUUAAAAAGAAUUGCAUUAUUGGUGAGUUAUAAUAAAUGGACCCUGAAUCUAUGAAGGCUGCAAAAUGCUCCUGACUUCCUUAUUGGAAAGAAAGACGAAAGCAAGAAAAAAAGCAAGAAAGCAAGAAGAAAGAAAAACAAUUACAUGUUUAAGUUAGUAACAUUUUUGGAUGCUUAUAUUCCCACAGUUUUAUUUUUAUAGUUUGGUUUCUGUUUUUAGUAUUAAAAAUACCAAUUAGUAGCUGGCUUUUAUGAAACGUCUUCACGAUUCAGUCUGUAAAUUGCAUAUAGCAUUACAAAAGUCUGCUCCUUGCAUCUCCCGCCCCAUUCUUGUCCUCCUCUAGCAUAUUCACCCAGCUGCCCAAAGUAAUCUUUUAAGAACAUAAGUCAACUUAUGCCCCUUUCCUGCUCAAAACCUUCCGAGUGUUUCACAUGUCACCCAGAAUAACCAAACUCUCUUCCUCGACAAGGCCUAUAUGAUUUGUCCCUCCCUGUCUUUCUGACAUUGUCACCCAACAGUCCCCACUCUUGCUCACACCCUUCUAAACGGAGUACUAUUCUUGCACAGGCCCACACUUUUCACCUAACUGUGAAGUCAUGUGUUAAAAUUCACUUGGUCACAGAUGUCUAUUAAAAUAUUAAUAUAAUCUCAUAGAUUACAAGCCCCAUGAGGUCAAGAAUUUUGUAUGUCUUAUUUACCACUAUUUCUAAUGCCUAAUAAAGUAUGUAUUCAAUUAAGGCAGUAUUAGUCUUCCGUUAUCUCAUAUAAGUUCUAUUAAGACAAGGUCUAAAAGUGACUCAACGUGUUUUGUUUUGUUCAUCACUAUAUUCACACCACCUCGGGUAGUUCUUGAAUAUAAAAGUCACUUAAUAAAUGUUUGUUGAAUAAAUUGACCUAUGAAAAUAAAUCUAUUACAUAAGCGCAAUGGGAAACUGGGCCAGAAUUCAGGAUUGUCACAAACCUCCAAUAAUAUGGUCACUUUACAGAGAAAAUAGAAUAGUAUUAUUAAUAAAUUUACACAGCUUAGAGGCAUUGUUAGCUGAUAAAACCAUGUAAUUUGGAGCACAAGAGUUUAAACUACUUAUAUCUGGUCCCAAUUGUGGCUCUACUGUUAUUUAUCUGUUUGUGACUUUGGACACGUUAAUUAAGUUAAUUCAUUCCAUUCUUUUCCACAAACGAUGGUGAGCACUACCUCCUAAUGGGUUAAUGCGGCAACAUUGGUAAAAUACUUGUUGGAAUCCUGGCACAUGGUGAAGAGCAAAAAGAUCAUCUAUAUACCAUCAAUGUAAGUAUUAUAUGAUAUACUUUUAUGUCUGAGUGAUUGUAGUUGUACGCUUCAGUGAUUUAAAAGUGUUUUGAAGCCCCUCUUGCCCCACGUAUUUGUAGCUACAGAACAUAAUAUCUUCUUCUAAGUAGGAUAGAAUACUGAAAGGCAGACCACAGUGAGCAAUAGGAAUAAAUUCCUGGUAUUCAUACUGCUCACUGGGAUUCUUAUUCUAUCCUGUCCACUGGAGUUCUUAUUAUGCACUAGACAGUGCAUUAAAUAAGACGACUCAAAAUUCCUGUUUGAUAUAGGAAAAAAAGUAUUCUUUUUCUGUUUUCCCUGAACUUCAGAAUGAAGUCCAAAGCUAGUAGCUUUAGUUUACUUAAAUCAAUUUGCUAUUGAUAAAGUCUUAAGAAAAUGGCCUACUUUGUGAGGCUAAUUCACUUUUGUCCCAGGAAUGUAAUGAGCAAAACUCUUGGCUAUAAGGUCAACAGAACACAAGAAAUAUAGGUUUCAGGUUUCAGACACUUGUGGAUAGGUUUGACAUACAAAACAUGCUCAGGCUAUUGGUAAUAGCACUCUCUACCUGCUGAUUCAAGAGGAUAAAUCAUGCAAAAAAAGUCCAUUGUGACAAAAUAAACUAUUUAGCUAAUUAGGAGUAACUUAGAAUUUAUCAAAUUAGUUUAUAUCACAUAGAUUCAGGUGACUUUUUUUUCACAUCAAAGUGAAGACCAGAUGUUUCGUAUUCAGAUGGUCCAAUGCAAGACACUUCAAAAUAUUGCACCAUUUGAAAUCAUAAAUGACUAGGACUAAAAUUGAAAAACCAACUGCCAUCGUGAGUUAUGAAUUAGAAAGAAAACAAGAGAUCUUUUCUAUUGGAGACCACAAUAGUUCUGAGAGCUUGCCUACCAGGAGAUUUUCUUUUAAAGUAUGAUUAUCAUUAUUAUUACAUAUAUAAGUAAAUUACAUAUGACCAGAAUUCAUUGUUUAUUUUAGCCAAUCACUUCUUUAUUCUGAGAGCUGCUCCCUUCCCCACUAAUGAUUAAUAAGAGAAUGUCUGUUUUAUAUAAUUUGCUUCACUGAUCACCAGUUGAUUGGUCCAAGAAUUGGUGGCUGACCCAAGCUGAACUAAUAAAAACGGCUUCAGGGAAUUUUGAAAUUGGAGGUGAGAAACAGAGUCAAAUAUUACAGGGAAUAAACUGGAAAGUCGUAAAGCCUCAGUGCUGACAGCAGUAAUGUUUGGUAUAAUAUAGACUGGAAAGCCAGAGAAAGCAUGAAGCAUACACACAGGGAGAGAAAGAGACAAGAGAAAGAAAGUCUGGAUGGCUUUGGAAUAUCUACUUCCACUCAGUUCUUAGAUCUUGUAAAUAUCUCAUUUCUGUAACAUUUCCAUUGUUACUUAAGCUAAUGUAGGUUGGGAGUGUCAAAUAACUCCCCAACAGUUAUUUUCCCUCCCUUCCUCAGUAGUAGAAGAAGUAUAUAGAAUUGUUACUAGACAAAAGGACAAAUUUCCCAGGUUUCCUUGAAGCUGGAUGUAACCACGUAAUCAAGUUCUAACCAAUCGACUGCAAGGCAAUAUAAGAUAUGCAACUUCAGAAAUUGCGCAUUUUAAAAAUGGAGUUUCCUAUCACUCCUUCUUUCUCUCUUUUGCUGGAGACAAGGUGGGCACAAUAAGUGGGGCUUCAAAUGGUCAUCUAGACACACAAAGUGGACGUCACGCACUGAGUGUGAUAAUGCAAAACGUUAAAAAGAGUCUGUUUCUUUGAUAA